CCUCGAGCCAGUCUGACGCCAGGCGCCGCGAAGAUAUGACGUCACUGUUUCGCGCUUUGCCAAAGUACUUUUCUCGCCAAGCUCGCAGCAAACUUCUUCAGACGUCUCUCGAGGAUCGGCCAAAGAAGUGUAACAUCGCAACGUGAAAUUAUCGAAAA
RNAcentral lists this long non-coding RNA (158 nucleotides) under Polistes fuscatus (common paper wasp). RNAcentral describes it as "uncharacterized LOC122525462". Lineage: Eukaryota; Metazoa; Arthropoda; Insecta; Hymenoptera; Vespidae. The record is from RNAcentral.